This 445-nucleotide ribosomal RNA is filed under the name uncultured bacterium. RNAcentral's name for it is "partial 16S ribosomal RNA". It matches the Rfam family "Bacterial small subunit ribosomal RNA", at positions 330 to 792 of the family's 1533-position model. The record is from RNAcentral.
GCCAGACUCCUACGGGAGGCAGCAGUGGGGAAUAUUGCACAAUGGGGGAAACCCUGAUGCAGCGACGCCGCGUGAGCGAUGAAGUAUUUCGGUAUGUAAAGCUCUAUCAGCAGGGAAGAAAAUGACGGUACCUGACUAAGAAGCCCCGGCUAACUACGUGCCAGCAGCCGCGGUAAUACGUAGGGGGCAAGCGUUAUCCGGAUUUACUGGGUGUAAAGGGAGCGUAGACGGCGGUGCAAGCCAGAUGUGAAAGCCCGGGGCUCAACCCCGGGACUGCAUUUGGAACUGUGCUGCUAGAGUGUCGGAGAGGCAGGCGGAAUUCCUAGUGUAGCGGUGGAAUGCGCAGAUAUUGGGAAGAACACCGGCGGCGAAGGCGGCCUGCUGGACUGCAACUGACGUUGGGGCCCGAAAGCGUGGGGAGCAAACAGGAUUAGAUACCCUAGUA